AGAGUUUGAUCCUGGGUCAGGAUGAACGCUGGCGGCGUGCUUAACACAUGCAAGUCGAACGAUUAAAGCCCCUUCGGGGGUGUAUAGAGUGGCGAACGGGUGAGUAACACGUGGGCAAUCUGCCCCUCACUUCGGGAUAACUCAGAGAAAUUUGAGCUAAUACCGAAUACUCCGGUCGGACCGCAUGGUCUGAUCGGGAAAGCUCCGACGGUGAGGGAUGAGCCCGCGGCCCAUUAGCUUGUUGGUAGGGUAAUGGCCUACCAAGGCGACGAUGGGUAGCCGCGCUGAGAGGCGGAUCGGCCACACUGGGACUGAGACACGGCCCAGACUCCUACGGGAGGCAGCAGUGGGGAAUUUUGCGCAAUGGGCAAAAGCCUGACGCAGCAACGCCGCGUGCGGGAUGAAGGCUCUCGGGUCGUAAACCGCUUUCAGCAGGGAUGAAAUUGACAGUACCUGCAGAAGAAGCCCCGGCUAAAUACGUGCCAGCAGCCGCGGUAAUACGUAUGGGGCAAGCGUUAUCCGGAUUCAUUGGGCGUAAAGAGCGCGUAGGCGGCUUGUUAAGUUAGGUGUGAAAUCCGGGGGCUUAACCCGCGGCUUGCAUCUAAAACUGGCAGGCUUGAGUCUGGUAGAGGAAAGUGGAAUUCCUGGUGUAGAGGUGAAAUUCGUAGAUAUCAGGAGGAACACCGGUGGCGAAGGCGACUUCCUGGCCCUAUACUGACGCUGAGACGCGAGAGCGUGGGUAGCAAACAGGAUUAGAUACCCUGGUAGUCC
This 771-nucleotide ribosomal RNA is filed under the name uncultured bacterium. Its description in RNAcentral is "bacterial SSU rRNA". It matches the Rfam family "Bacterial small subunit ribosomal RNA", at positions 8 to 796 of the family's 1533-position model. The record is from RNAcentral.